Camelus dromedarius (Arabian camel) is the source of this 271-nucleotide long non-coding RNA. RefSeq lists it as uncharacterized. The record is from RefSeq and is a predicted model, not a curated record. NCBI's taxonomy places the organism in Eukaryota, Metazoa, Chordata, Mammalia, Artiodactyla, Camelidae. The transcript has 4 exons.
UUAAAUUUAUACAAGAAUUUCAAUCAAAUUCACAUCUUCACAUUAUCUAACCUUCCCAAGACAAGAUAACACACGAGACCUUCUCAGAGGUCCUCUUCAGUCCCAGUUGUAACGAAUCCACAGGUCAUGCAUGGGCCCCCUGAUGCUUUUCUGUCCCUGAACUAGCAUUUACUUGAAGAUUUUACCCACGUUAUUGGAAGAAAGAGAUGGAGCGUGAUUCUGUCUUUGCUGCAAUCAAAUUUCUUGGCUGGUUCAGGAUAUUUUGCUUCAU